GACGAACGCUGGCGGCGUGCUUAACACAUGCAAGUCGAACGGAAAGGCCCUGCUUUUGUGGGGUGCUCGAGUGGCGAACGGGUGAGUAACACGUGAGUAACCUGCCCUUGACUUUGGGAUAACUUCAGGAAACUGGGGCUAAUACCGGAUAGGAGCUCCUGCUGCAUGGUGGGGGUUGGAAAGUUUCGGCGGUUGGGGAUGGACGCGCGGCUUAUCAGCUUGUUGGUGGGGUAGUGGCUUACCAAGGCUUUGGCGGGUAGCCGGCCUGAGAGGGUGACCGGCCACAUUGGGACUGAGGUACGGCCCAGACUCCUACGGGAGGCAGCAGUGGGGAGUAUUGCACAAUGGGCGGAAGCCUGAUGCAGCAACGCCGCGUGCGGGAUGACGGCCUUCGGGUUGUAAACCGCUUUCGCCUGUGACGAAGCGUGAGUGACGGUAAUGGGUAAAGAAGCACCGGCUAACUACGUG
This 468-nucleotide ribosomal RNA is filed under the name uncultured bacterium. RNAcentral describes it as "partial 16S ribosomal RNA". It matches the Rfam family "Bacterial small subunit ribosomal RNA", at positions 28 to 507 of the family's 1533-position model. The record is from RNAcentral.